UGACGAGUGGCGGACGGGUGAGUAAUGUCUGGGAAACUGCCUGAUGGAGGGGGAUAACUACUGGAAACGGUAGCUAAUACCGCAUAACGUCGCAAGACCAAAGAGGGGGACCUUCGGGCCUCUUGCCAUCGGAUGUGCCCAGAUGGGAUUAGCUAGUAGGUGGGGUAAAGGCUCACCUAGGCGACGAUCCCUAGCUGGUCUGAGAGGAUGACCAGCCACACUGGAACUGAGACACGGUCCAGACUCCUACGGGAGGCAGCAGUGGGGAAUAUUGCACAAUGGGCGCAAGCCUGAUGCAGCCAUGCCGCGUGUAUGAAGAAGGCCUUCGGGUUGUAAAGUACUUUCAGCGGGGAGGAAGGGAGUAAAGUUAAUACCUUUGCUCAUUGACGUUACCCGCAGAAGAAGCACCGGCUAACUCCGUGCCAGCAGCCGCGGUAAUACGGAGGGUGCAAGCGUUAAUCGGAAUUACUGGGCGUAAAGCGCACGCAGGCGGUUUGUUAAGUCAGAUGUGAAAUCCCCGGGCUCAACCUGGGAACUGCAUCUGAUACUGGCAAGCUUGAGUCUCGUAGAGGGGGGUAGAAUUCCAGGUGUAGCGGUGAAAUGCGUAGAGAUCUGGAGGAAUAC
This 624-nucleotide ribosomal RNA is filed under the name uncultured Pseudomonadota bacterium. RNAcentral's name for it is "bacterial SSU rRNA". It matches the Rfam family "Bacterial small subunit ribosomal RNA", at positions 89 to 709 of the family's 1533-position model. The record is from RNAcentral. Lineage: Bacteria; Pseudomonadati; Pseudomonadota.